Molecule: long non-coding RNA, 319 nt
Filed under: Androctonus crassicauda
Lineage: Eukaryota; Metazoa; Arthropoda; Arachnida; Scorpiones; Buthidae
Source: RNAcentral
CAGACUGAUUCGUUCAAAAACUCCAUAAGACAUACAAGAUAAGUAAUUCCUUUUUAAUGUAACUUAAAAUUAGUAAAUACAAAUUUUAGAUAAACAAUAACAUGAAUAACCUCUACUACAUGAAGAACCUCUACUUGCAGAGUUCCGUUGUUCAAAAUUCUGUUGAUAGCCUAGCGGCACAGUACCAGGACAACAUAUCCCACAAAGUACACCACCUUCUCAAGGUAAAACACGUAGGACAAAUGCACAACACUGAUGAGCAGUAUUUCUCAACCUUUUUUGGCCUGCAGACCGGUAAAAUUUGUGAAAAAAAUUUCAC